Astatotilapia calliptera (eastern happy) is the source of this 1151-nucleotide long non-coding RNA. The record is from Ensembl. Lineage: Eukaryota; Metazoa; Chordata; Actinopteri; Cichliformes; Cichlidae.
AGAAUCACCGACACCACGUCCAGCUGAUAACACAACUAAUGUUUUGAAUGUUAGUGGCACAAAUAUAAAAUUAGAUUUUGGUUCUUUUUAUCCAAACCACAGUCAAGACGCCUUCAACAAUACCAAAGAAGAAAAUGUCACAGAGGUCCCAGCAGGUGAGAGGUCCCAAUCAUCAGCAGGCCUGCUGAGUGUAGCCUUAGACAACAACAGCGACUCCUUCAGAAAUGUUACUGUUACUACAGUGGAAAGUGACUGGAUAUCACCUCACCCAGAUUACCAAAGUGACAACCUGACUGAAAUCGACCCAGAAAAUGUUACAGAAGCACCAAUGAAUUUAUUAGCAGAAUCACCAACAGCACAUCCAUCUGAAAACCUCAUAGAUGCUUUGAAUGUCUCUGACUCUGAGAAACUGGACAAUAAGACAGAAUCAGAAUCACCAACAGAUGGUCCAGCUGCAAACACCAGAGGAGACACAAAACCAUUUAUGAACAACUUUAAUGAUGCCAACACUGAAAAUGUUACAAAUGGACCAGUACAAUUAUUACCAGCUCCACCUGAUGCAGAUUUAAACAGUGACUCCUCUAAUGGCAGCGAGACCUUCAUUAAAGCAACUCUGAAAACUGAAUCACCAACAGCGUAUCCUCUUCAGAAAGCCACCACAGAUGCUUUGAAUGUCUCUGAAUCUGAGAAACAUCUGAGCAUGAAAGUGAAAACUGGUAAAUCAACCAAGACUGCAAAAGUCUUGAGCCAGCUCAAGACUUUUGCACAGUGCUGUAUGAAAAUAGGAUCAUAACCAGGAACUGUUCUUUAGAAAUAGGUGGAGAAACUACUUGCUUUGGGUAUCACUACAGAAGGUGACACUAGUUUAAAAGAGAGAGACAACAACAAGUUUACAGCUUUCCUUUGUUGCAACUAAAAGCAUUCUACAGAACUUCAUUAAUAUUUAUGUGUAACACCCAUCCCACGUUCUAUUGAGAGGGGCCCUGGGUUCCUGUUGUUACUUUCCUAUUGAUACUCCCUUUUUAAUCAGAAUCAGAAUACUUUAUUGAUCCCUGGGGGGAAUUAUUUUUUGUUACAGUGCUCCAUUUUAAACCAACAUUAAGACAAGACAGACAAUACGCUAACUAAGAAUAGUACAAUAUAUACAUAUA